GACAGAGGGUGCAAACGUUGUUCGGAAUUACUGGGCGUAAAGGCGCGUAGGCGGUCAGGUCAGUCCCGUGUGAAAUCCCUCGGCUCACCCGAGGACCUGCAUCCCAAACUGCUUGGCUUGAGUAUGGGAGAGGAUGAGGGAAUUCCUGGUGUAGCGGUGAAAUGCGUAGAUAUCAGGAGGAACACCGUGGCGAAGGCGCUCUGCUAGGCCGUAACUGACACUGAGGACGAAAGCUAGGGAGCGAAUGGG
RNAcentral lists this ribosomal RNA (249 nucleotides) under uncultured bacterium. Its description in RNAcentral is "partial 16S ribosomal RNA". It matches the Rfam family "Bacterial small subunit ribosomal RNA", at positions 524 to 776 of the family's 1533-position model. The record is from RNAcentral.